Molecule: ribosomal RNA, 437 nt
Filed under: uncultured marine alveolate
Lineage: Eukaryota
Description: SSU rRNA
Rfam family: Eukaryotic small subunit ribosomal RNA
Source: RNAcentral
AUUAAGCCAUGCAUGUCUCAGUAUAAGUCUAUAUACGGCGAAACUGCGAAUGGCUCAUUAAAACAGUUAUAGUUUAUUUGAUGGUCAAUCGUUAUAUGGAUAACUGUGGUAAUUCUAGAGCUAAUACAUGCAUAAAGACCCAACUUCAAGGACGGGUUGUAUUUAUUAAAUACAGAACCAAUCCGGCUUGCCGGUUUUUGGAUGAUUCAUAAUAAAUGAACGGAGCGUAUGACAUGCGUCNACGCUGUAUCAUUCAAGUUUCUGACCUAUCANCUUCCGACGGUAGGGUAUUGGCCUACCGUGGCAUUUACGGGUAACGGAGAAUUAUGGUUCGAUUCCNGAGAGGGAGCCCGAGAAACGGCUACCACAUCUAAGGAAGGCGNCAGGCGCGCAAAUUACCCAAUCCUGAUACAGGGAGGUAGUGACAAGAAAUAACA